UGGGCAACCUGCCUGUAAGACUGGGAUAACUUCGGGAAACCGGAGCUAAUACCGGAUAAUCCUUUUCCUCUCAUGAGGAAAAGCUGAAAGACGGUUUACGCUGUCACUUACAGAUGGGCCCGCGGCGCAUUAGCUAGUUGGUGAGGUAACGGCUCACCAAGGCGACGAUGCGUAGCCGACCUGAGAGGGUGAUCGGCCACACUGGGACUGAGACACGGCCCAGACUCCUACGGGAGGCAGCAGUAGGGAAUCUUCCGCAAUGGACGAAAGUCUGACGGAGCAACGCCGCGUGAGUGAUGAAGGUUUUCGGAUCGUAAAACUCUGUUGUUAGGGAAGAACAAGUACAAGAGUAACUGCUUGUACCUUGACGGUACCUAACCAGAAAGCCACGGCUAACUACGUGCCAGCAGCCGCGGUAAUACGUAGGUGGCAAGCGUUGUCCGGAAUUAUUGGGCGUAAAGCGCGCGCAGGCGGUCCUUUAAGUCUGAUGUGAAAGCCCACGGCUCAACCGUGGAGGGUCAUUGGAAACUG
Molecule: ribosomal RNA, 531 nt
Filed under: Niallia circulans
Lineage: Bacteria; Bacillati; Bacillota; Bacilli; Caryophanales; Bacillaceae
Description: bacterial SSU rRNA
Rfam family: Bacterial small subunit ribosomal RNA
Source: RNAcentral